This 1671-nucleotide ribosomal RNA is filed under the name Embata laticeps. RNAcentral's name for it is "SSU rRNA". It matches the Rfam family "Eukaryotic small subunit ribosomal RNA". Lineage: Eukaryota; Metazoa; Rotifera; Eurotatoria; Philodinida; Philodinidae. The record is from RNAcentral.
CCAUGCAUGUCUAAGUAUGAACUGGUUUAAGGUGAAACUGCGUACGGCUCAUUACAUCAGCUAUAACUUUCUUUGAUCAUAAAUUCUAAAUGGAAUAACCGAGGAAAAGCCUGGGCUAAUACAUGCGACAAUUCCGGUAGUAAUAUCGGAAUGCUUUUAUUAGAUCAAAACCUUCUAGUUCCUUCACGGGAACUGUUUGUUGGUGACUCUAAAUAACUUUGUGUUGAUCGUAUGACCUUCGUGUCGACGACAUAUCUUUCAAGUGUCUGACUUAUCAACUUUAGACGGUACAUUAUAUGUCUACCGUGGUUGUAACGAGUACAGAGAAUCAGGGUUUGGUUCUGGAGAGGCCGCCUGAGAAACGGCGACCACUUCCAAGGAAGGCAGCAGGCGCGCAAAUUACCCACUCUCAAAACGAGGAGGUAGUGAAGAGAAAUAACGAUGUUAGUCUUUUAUAGGCUGAUAAUCGGAAUGGAAACACUGUAAAUAGGUUAUUGAAAACUAAAGUUGCUGUGUUUAAAAAGCUCGUAGUUGAAUUUCGGGUAUUUGUUGCUAGCUGGUCUAACUGGCCAUGUUGGUUAACAGAUCCUCACUUGCUGGACGGCUGGCGAUGAUCUUUAUCGGUUGUCGUCAGUUGCCAGAACGUUUACUUUGAGAAAAUUAGAGUGCUAAAAGCAGGCUCACGCCUAUAUAUAUUCAUGGAAUAAUGAAAUAAGAUCUCGAUUUUAUUUCGUUGGUUUUAGAAAUUGAGAUAAUGAUUAAUAGGAUCAGAGGGGGGCGUACGUACUGUGGUGUGAGAGGUGAAAUUCUUGGAUCGCCACAGGACGAACAGCAGCGAAGGCGUUCGCCAAGAAUGUUUUCAUUAAUCAAGAACGAAAGUUUGAGGUUCGAAGACGAUUAGAUACCGUCCUAGUUCAAACCAUAAACGUUGCCAACUGUCUUUUAGAUGCGGUUACUCAUAUGACUCAUCUGGCGGAUCUCGAGAAAUCUAAGUUUUUAGGUUCCGGGGGAAGUAUGGUUGCAAAGCUGAAACUUAAAAGAAUUGACGGAAGGACACACAAGAAGUGGAGCCUGUGGCCUAAUUUGACUCAACACGGGAAACCUUACUCGGCCAGGACACUUUUAGGAUUGACAGAUUGAGAGCUCUUUCUUGAUUAGGUGGGUGGUGGUGCAUGGUCGUUCGUAGUUCGUGGAGCGAUUUGUCUGAUUAAUUUCGAUAACGAACGAGACUCCGGCUUACUAAAUAGUCUAAAGUUCGCAGGGACUUUUCAAGACUUCUUAGCAGGAUAAGUGGCACUUUUUAAGCCACACGAAAUGGAGCAAUAACAGGUCUGUGAUGCCCUUAGAUGUCCGAGGCUGCACGCGCGCUACACUGGAGAGUUCAGAAUGUUUCUUCCUACUUCGACAGAAGUGGGUAACCAUGAAAUUCUCUUCGUGACUGGGAUCGGAGCUUGCAAUUAUUCUCCGUCAACGAGGAAUUCCUAGUAAGCACUAUUUCAUCAGAAUGUGCUGAUUAUGUCCCUGUCCUUUGUACACACCGCCCGUCGCUACUACCGAUUGAAUGUUUUAGUGAGAUCUUCGGCUUGGUUUUCCGAGCGGCUUUCGGGUCGUUCGGUAUAUAUCGAAAAGAUGCUCAAACUGGAUCAUUUAGAGGAAGUAAAAGUCGUAACA